GUCUAUGGCCAUACCACCCUGAACGCGCCCGAUCUCGUCUGAUCUCCGAAGCUAAGCAGGGUCGGGCCUGGUUAGUACUUGGAUGGGAGAAUAAGUCAAACACACAGGCGUCAGACA
This 117-nucleotide ribosomal RNA is filed under the name Neogale vison (American mink). The record is from RNAcentral. Lineage: Eukaryota; Metazoa; Chordata; Mammalia; Carnivora; Mustelidae.